UUCUGACCGUAAACGAUGCCAACUAGCGAUCCGCCGGUGGAUUUUUAGCCCUGGUGGGUAGCUUCCCGGAAACGAAAGUCUUCCGGUUCCGGGGGAAGUAUGGUUGCAAAGCUGAAACUUAAAGGAAUUGACGGAAGGGCACCACCAGGAGUGGAGCCUGCGGCUUAAUUUGACUCAACACGGGGAAACUCACCCGGCCCGGACACCGUAAGGAUUGACAGAUUGAUAGCUCUUUCAUGAUUCGGUGGUUGGUGGUGCAUGGCCGUUCUUAGUUCGUGGAUCGAUUUGUCUGGUUUAUUCCGAUAACGAGCGAGACUCUAGCCUACUAAAUAGUAACGUGAUUAUCAAUGUCGCGUUUGCUUCUUAGAGGGAUUUUCGGUGUUUAGCCGCACGAGAUUGAGCAAUAACAGGUCUGUGAUGCCCUUAGAUGUCCGGGGCUGCACGCGCGCUACACUGGCGAAAUCAGCGUGCUGUAUCCAUUCUCGAAAGGGAUUGGUAAACCCAUGAAAAUUUGCCGUGCUUGGGAUCGGAAAUUGCAAUUAUUUUCCGUGAACGAGGAAUUCCAAGUAAGUGCGAGUCAUCAACUCGCUCUG
This 593-nucleotide ribosomal RNA is filed under the name Acrobeloides sp. 803L-014. RNAcentral describes it as "SSU rRNA". It matches the Rfam family "Eukaryotic small subunit ribosomal RNA", at positions 1024 to 1643 of the family's 1831-position model. Lineage: Eukaryota; Metazoa; Nematoda; Chromadorea; Rhabditida; Cephalobidae. The record is from RNAcentral.